RNAcentral lists this ribosomal RNA (381 nucleotides) under uncultured eukaryote. RNAcentral describes it as "partial 18S ribosomal RNA". It matches the Rfam family "Eukaryotic small subunit ribosomal RNA", at positions 592 to 976 of the family's 1831-position model. The record is from RNAcentral.
CAAUAGCGUAUAUUAAAGCUGUUGCGGUUAAAAAGCUCGUAGUUGGAUUUCUGUCAAGGACAACUGGUCCGCCCUCCGGGUGAGCACAUAGUUUGGUCUUGACAUCUUGCUGGAAGCUGUUGCUGCACUUGGCUGUGUGGCGCAGUGUUCAGCACUUUCACUUUGAGGAAAUUGGAGUGUUUCAAGCAGGCACAUGCCUUUGGACACAGUAGCAUGGAAUAAUUAGAUCGGGCUUUUGCUCCAAUUUGUCGGUUUCUGGAGCUGAGGUGAGUAUUAAUGGGGAUUGUUGGGGGCAUCCGAAUUUAGCCGUCAGAGGUGAAAUUCUUGGAUCUGCUAAAGACGGACAACUGCGAAAGCGUUUGCCCAGGAUGUUUUCAUUGA